RNAcentral lists this long non-coding RNA (2185 nucleotides) under Columba livia (rock pigeon). RNAcentral describes it as "partial uncharacterized LOC102094871, transcript variant X4". Lineage: Eukaryota; Metazoa; Chordata; Aves; Columbiformes; Columbidae. The record is from RNAcentral.
CUCAUAUACAGACAAAAAAAUCAAACAAUGAGAGUUCCCUUUGUAGUUCAUUAAUGCAAAGUGGCACUUUUUAAGAGCUGUUUUGUGCUCAUGGGCCAUGAAGUCAAGGCCUGGUGCUCUGAUAAAAGGAGCAGAUCUUGAAUAAACAUGGACUGCUAACUAGAAGAUUAUUGAGUGUCAGAGGGGUAAGAUUCUGGAAGUCUUGCAGUGAAGAUACUGAAGGAUCCUCACGAGUCCAAAAUACAGAUUUCAAGAGUCUCAAUACCACGUCUGCAUCUCUUGGUGAACCGAGAAGCUCAGCACAGAUUCAGUGUCCUCUCUCCACAUCUCCCAACGUUUUCCAUCCAGGGCUGCCCAGUGACUCCAUCCCCGUCUCUUCUGGGAGAGGUCUGCAGGCAAGCCAGGAUGCGGAGGUAAAAAGACAGGAGAUAACAGGAAACAAACCUGGGGAAGUCCUCAUCUUGCCACUCCUCCUUGACAUCCACGUUUUCCAUCCGUAAAGUGGCUUCUGUGGUUCCCAUGGUGCUCGGAGCGGGCUGGCUGGACAGCAGCUCCCCCAGGAAAGGGCUCAGGCUGGAAGGCGAAAGGCAGAGAGGUUGUUGUUGAGCAUCGCUACCUGGGAGUAUUUAAUGUGAACCAUUCAGAGCAGGCACAGGAGAUACCUUGGGGCUCAGAGAGACCCCACCUCCCUCCCUCCUCCCAGCACUGCCAGCUGCUUUCUGCUCACCCUGAAGGCAUCAUGGAGGGAGGGAGAGAGAGGAAAGAUGCUGAAGCAGAUCCCAGGCUGACGUUUCUUAACAUCAAACAUCGCCCAGCAGCGUGGAAGCCCAGAUGAUGCUGUACUCACCGAUGCUUGUGGCUAAUGAGGAACAAAGGAGGUGCUGCCUGUAUCCCAGCUGGACAUUCCUCCGGAGGGCGACGGGCUGCUCAGCAGGUCCAGCGCCUGGAUCCGGAUGCAGACGUGUGCGGCUUUCUCAGCGCAGGAGCAUGGGGAUGCAUCUAGAAGCAGGCAGAAGAUCCAUUAGGACAGAAAGAUGCUAGGACGUCUGUGACACUUGAUGGCUCUAAAGUUAAAUAUCAAAGUCCGCAGUGUCAUCUCCAGCUAAGCAAAUAGAGAUAUUAUUACAGGCAGAAAAGCUGUUUUGGAGUCUGCCACAGGAGGGCGAUGGAUCCCCCGAGCCUGGCUGUGCUGGAGCUGCAGGAGCCGGGCUCUAGAGGUCGCUUUGCACCAGGAGAUGGUUGAGCUGAGAGCUGACACUGUCCUCGUGGUUUCUCCAAAGAGAAAAGCAGAAAUAGUCAAGCAGAGGUUACAGCUUUUCAUUUAUGAGGAGGCGUGAGAGAGCGUGAAUCCCAGGAGCUGCCAAGGGCAUGAGGAGAGCGCUGUGAAGGAGGAACCCAAAGCUGGGUGCCAGCUGCAUGGAUAAACUCACACAGCUCCCAAGGGAUGAGGAAACCAAAUGCAUCCUGAUUCCCAGACGAUGGGGCAAUGUGGCUUGAUUUCUUGCCAUAGCAGAGGGAUCAGCCAGCGUGUGGAGAGGAGCUGGAGGGGAGAGGCGGCAGGUCUGUGCCUGGUCACUUCUGCAGCGCUUGGAUUUGUCAUCUUGAUGGGGAGCUGUUGGUGGCAUGAACUACUUGAAACCACCUGGUGCGCGGGGAAUGCUUUCCCUUCAAGAGAUGCUUAAACUCCUACUGAUUUUAGACAGAGCCCGUACGGAAGUUGCCCCCAGUGAUCCAUUUUACAUGGGAGAGUGAGGAGGAGAAAUGCAGAAUCCAGAAACAUGUGCAAAGCCGCUUCCUUGAGAUACCCCGAGGAAAGGCCCUGUAUGGCUCAGCAACCUUGGAAAACACGGUUAGUUUUGGGAAACACCAGACACUUUGGUGCUCCGCACAAAGAAAAGCGAGGAACAAGGUGCGAGCGCAGUUCAGAGCGUCCUGUCCGUGACCGUUGUGUGAAGCAGGCAGAGCGACCUGAAGCAAAGCCCCAGCUCGUAAAUCCUCACUGCUGCCAGGACCUGGAGGCUUUUCUUCUCUCUGUCAAAGUGAGUAAUCAAAUCCCCUCAAACACGUUUUUAAUUGGGUAACUGAAGGCUGUAAUGUUCCCUCUGGGACAUCUGGGGUGUGCUUGCAGGGAGACGCUGGCUCCCAUUCCCCGGUGCGAGUGACGCCAAGCAGCAGCCGGGUUCCU